GGCCUCGUGGCGCAAAGGUAGCGCGUUUGACUCCAGAUCAAAAGGUUAUCCGUUCAAAUCGGGUCGGGGUCA
RNAcentral lists this transfer RNA (72 nucleotides) under Magnaporthiopsis poae ATCC 64411. RNAcentral describes it as "tRNA-Trp (CCA) (tRNA-Trp-CCA-2-1)". It matches the Rfam family "tRNA". From Rfam's summary of the family: Transfer RNA (tRNA) molecules are approximately 80 nucleotides in length. Their secondary structure includes four short double-helical elements and three loops (D, anti-codon, and T loops). The record is from Rfam by way of RNAcentral. Lineage: Eukaryota; Fungi; Ascomycota; Sordariomycetes; Magnaporthales; Magnaporthaceae.